AUACAGAGGGUGCAAGCGUUAAUCGGAUUUACUGGGCGUAAAGCGUGCGUAGGUGGUCUUUUAAGUCGGAUGUGAAAUCCCUGAGCUUAACUUAGGAAUUGCAUUCGAUACUGGGAGACUAGAGUAUGGGAGAGGAUGGUAGAAUUCCAGGUGUAGCGGUGAAAUGCGUAGAGAUCUGGAGGAAUACCGAUGGCGAAGGCAGCCAUCUGGCCUAAUACUGACACUGAGGCUCGAAAGUGUGGGUAUC
This 247-nucleotide ribosomal RNA is filed under the name uncultured bacterium. RNAcentral describes it as "partial 16S ribosomal RNA". It matches the Rfam family "Bacterial small subunit ribosomal RNA", at positions 523 to 769 of the family's 1533-position model. The record is from RNAcentral.